RNAcentral lists this ribosomal RNA (253 nucleotides) under uncultured bacterium. Its description in RNAcentral is "partial 16S ribosomal RNA". It matches the Rfam family "Bacterial small subunit ribosomal RNA", at positions 524 to 776 of the family's 1533-position model. The record is from RNAcentral. RNAcentral also lists the same sequence under 1 other name.
UACGAAGGGGGCUAGCGUUGCUCGGAAUUACUGGGCGUAAAGGGCGCGUAGGCGGAUGACUAAGUUGGGGGUGAAAGCCCGGGGCUCAACCUCGGAACUGCCUUCAAUACUGGUCAUCUUGAGUUCGGGAGAGGUGUGUGGAACUCCGAGUGUAGAGGUGAAAUUCGUAGAUAUUCGGAAGAACACCAGUGGCGAAGGCGACACACUGGCCCGAUACUGACGCUGAGGCGCGAAAGCGUGGGGAGCAAACAGG